GACGAACGCUGGCGGCGUGCUUAACACAUGCAAGUCGAACGGAAAGGCCCUUCGGGGUACUCGAGUGGCGAACGGGUGAGUAACACGUGGGUGAUCUGCCCUGCACUUUGGGAUAAGCCUGGGAAACUGGGUCUAAUACCGAAUAGGACCACGCGCUUCAUGGUGUGUGGUGGAAAGCUUUUGCGGUGUGGGAUGGGCCCGCGGCCUAUCAGCUUGUUGGUGGGGUAAUGGCCUACCAAGGCGACGACGGGUAGCCGGCCUGAGAGGGUGACCGGCCACACUGGGACUGAGAUACGGCCCAGGCUCCUACGGGAGGCAGCAGUGGGGAAUAUUGCACAAUGGGCGCAAGCCUGAUGCAGCGACGCCGCGUGAGGGAUGACGGCCUUCGGGUUGUAAACCUCUUUCACCAGGGACGAAGCGUAAGUGACGGUACCUGGAGAAGAAGCACCGGCCAACUACGUG
Molecule: ribosomal RNA, 462 nt
Filed under: uncultured bacterium
Lineage: Bacteria
Description: partial 16S ribosomal RNA
Rfam family: Bacterial small subunit ribosomal RNA
Source: RNAcentral